RNAcentral lists this ribosomal RNA (288 nucleotides) under uncultured Eubacteriales bacterium. Its description in RNAcentral is "uncultured Clostridiales bacterium partial 16S ribosomal RNA". The stretch from base 49 to 288 matches the Rfam family "Bacterial small subunit ribosomal RNA", at positions 100 to 339 of the family's 1533-position model. The record is from RNAcentral. Lineage: Bacteria; Bacillati; Bacillota; Clostridia; Eubacteriales.
AGUUUACUUAACAGAUUCCUUCGGGAUGACGUUUUUAAACUUAGUGGCGGACGGGUGAGUAACGCGUGGGUAACCUGCCUUACACAGGGGGAUAGCAGUUGGAAACGACUGGUAAUACCGCAUACCUUACAUUAUUCGCAUGUUUGAUGUAAGAAAGAUUUUAUCGGUGUAAGAUGGACCCGCGUCUGAUUAGCUAGUUGGUGUGGUAACGGCAUACCAAGGCGACGAUCAGUAGCCGGCCUGAGAGGGUGAACGGCCACAUUGGGACUGAGAUACGGCCCAGACUCC